RNAcentral lists this ribosomal RNA (322 nucleotides) under uncultured prokaryote. Its description in RNAcentral is "bacterial SSU rRNA". It matches the Rfam family "Bacterial small subunit ribosomal RNA", at positions 355 to 669 of the family's 1533-position model. The record is from RNAcentral.
UAGGGAAUAUUGGACAAUGGGCGAAAGCCUGAUCCAGCCAUGCCGCGUGAGUGAUGAAGGCCUUCGGGUCGUAAAGCUCUUUUCUGAGGGAAGAACAGCCGGGGGAGGAAAUGCCCCCGGCCUGACGGUACCUUAGGAAUAAGGGACGGCUAACUCCGUGCCAGCAGCCGCGGUAAUACGGAGGUCCCGAGCGUUGUUCGGAAUUACUGGGCGUAACGGGAGCGCAGGCGGACGGGUCAGUCUAAAGUGGAAAGCCGGGGCUUAACCUCGGACUUGCUUCGGAUACUGCCCGUCUUGAGUGCGUGAGAGGAAGAUGGAAUGC